Molecule: long non-coding RNA, 361 nt
Organism: Gallus gallus (chicken)
Lineage: Eukaryota; Metazoa; Chordata; Aves; Galliformes; Phasianidae
Source: Ensembl
CUAGGAAAUAAUCUAUUCAGGCAGACUCAGGAUCAUGAGCACUUGGGAUUUCUGCUUCACAUUGGAAACUUCAGUGAUUCAUUUCAAGCUCACUAUUCACCCCUUCUUUUUUCGUUCAGAAAUAGAAACAACGUUGACUGAGAAGGUAGCUGCGAAGAUCUUUCUUACAGAAAGAGUUAGGAUUUAUAAGGAGAAGUACAGGACAGAAUAACAGUUAUUUCAGAUCGCCACAGCACAGUAAUGGUAUUCAGUUGGUCAUCCAAAGCUUUAGGCCAAAGGACAGCUGAGAUAACAUGUUCAGUGGUAGGAUAAGUGUAAGUUCUGUGGUUUUUUUUUCAACAUCUUGUAAUGAACAUUCUGG